AAAAAAAAAGAAAAAAAGACAAAUAUUUGUGUGGUCUUUUGUAAAAGAACAAGUCACAAAAAGCAGGUUAAUGAUGGUGUCCAAGAGAAUUCCAAUCCUUAUCAAGGAGCGCAACAAAAUUUAAGUUGGUUCCAUCUACUGCAGAACUAAUAACAUACUUUAUUUCUAGUUAUAUGUUCAAUAUUCAAGGGAAAAAUGCCCCAACAUAGUUUGACAGUCAUCCAUCUAGUCUAUCUCUUGCUUUUCAUUUUCUCGAGUUGCUCCAUUCAAAUUGUUGUCCAAUUAGCUUGAGAAUCAAUCCUUUUGUGUUCAGUGGUAUAAGUUCCAGAGCAGCAGUAACAUUACAAAUUUCAGCAGUCAGAGUUAGAAGUGAGUCCUCAUCCUUUGAGGACAUGAUUAUUUAUCUAUAUUCUCAUUGAUUAGUUCAUUAGUCGGAUUUAGUUUUG
This is a long non-coding RNA of Capsicum annuum, 446 nucleotides long. RefSeq lists it as uncharacterized. The transcript has 3 exons. Lineage: Eukaryota; Viridiplantae; Streptophyta; Magnoliopsida; Solanales; Solanaceae. The record is from RefSeq and is a predicted model, not a curated record.